Molecule: microRNA, 21 nt
Filed under: Callithrix jacchus (white-tufted-ear marmoset)
Lineage: Eukaryota; Metazoa; Chordata; Mammalia; Primates; Cebidae
Description: cja-miR-9965
Source: miRBase by way of RNAcentral
UCUGCCUCAUCCUUCCCCAGU